RNAcentral lists this ribosomal RNA (511 nucleotides) under Ithonidae sp. EH-2004. RNAcentral's name for it is "partial 16S ribosomal RNA". The stretch from base 387 to 511 matches the Rfam family "Bacterial large subunit ribosomal RNA", at positions 2473 to 2597 of the family's 2925-position model. Lineage: Eukaryota; Metazoa; Arthropoda; Insecta; Neuroptera; Ithonidae. The record is from RNAcentral.
UUUUUGAAUUUAAUAUAAAGUCUAACCUGCCCACUGAAUUUAUUUAAAUGGCCGCGGUAUACUGACUGUGCAAAGGUAGCAUAAUCAUUUGUCUCUUAAUUGGAGGCUAGAAUGAAUGGUUGAAUGAAAUAUUAACUGUCUCAAUUUAAUAAAUUUAAAAAAUUUUUUUUUUAGUCAAAAAACUAAAAUAAAUUUAAAAGACGAGAAGACCCUAUAGAUCUUUAUAAUUUGGUGAUAUUAAUAAAUAUAGAAUUUUAUUAAGUUAAUAUAAUUAAAUUAUUAUGUUGGGGUGACAAGAAAAUUUAUAAAACUUUUUUUUUAGAAUAAACAUUAAUAUAUGAAUAAUUGAUCCAAUUUUAUUGAUUAAAAAUUUAAGUUACCUUAGGGAUAACAGCGUAAUUUUUUUAGAGAGUUCAUAUCGAUAAAAAAGAUUGCGACCUCGAUGUUGAAUUAAAGAUUAUUUCUAGAUGCAGGAGUUUAGAGGUUAGGUCUGUUCGACCUUUAAAUCUUU